Molecule: transfer RNA, 66 nt
Filed under: Oreocryptophis porphyraceus (black-banded trinket snake)
Lineage: Eukaryota; Metazoa; Chordata; Lepidosauria; Squamata; Colubridae
Description: tRNA-Ala
Rfam family: tRNA
About the family: Transfer RNA (tRNA) molecules are approximately 80 nucleotides in length. Their secondary structure includes four short double-helical elements and three loops (D, anti-codon, and T loops).
Source: RNAcentral
GAGAGCUUUAGUUUAAUUAAAAUAUCUGUGUUGCAAUCAGGAGAUGUGGUGUUCCCGCAGGCUCUA